UAGGGAAUAUUGCGCAAUGGACGAAAGUCUGACGCAGCGACGCCGCGUGGGUGAUGAAGGUCUUUUGAUUGUAAAGCCCUGUGAGGGGGGACGAAAAAUUAAAAAUUGACGGUACCCCCAGAGGAAGGACCGGCUAAACACGUGCCAGCAGCCGCGGUAAUACGUGUGGUCCGAGCGUUGUCCGGAGUGACUGGGCGUAAAGGGUGCGUAGGCUGGUAUGCAAGUCAGGUGUGAAAUCCCCGGGCUCAACUGGGGAACGUCGCCUGAAACUGCGUAUCUUGAGACUGUGAGGGGCAAGCGGAAUUCCCGGAGUAGCGGUGAAAUGCGUAGAUAUCGGGAAGAACACCGGUGGCGAAGGCGGCUUGCUGGGGCAGAUCUGACGCUGAGGCACGAAAGCGUGGGGAGCGAACA
Molecule: ribosomal RNA, 411 nt
Filed under: uncultured prokaryote
Description: bacterial SSU rRNA
Rfam family: Bacterial small subunit ribosomal RNA
Source: RNAcentral